This 506-nucleotide ribosomal RNA is filed under the name uncultured bacterium. RNAcentral's name for it is "bacterial SSU rRNA". It matches the Rfam family "Bacterial small subunit ribosomal RNA", at positions 30 to 518 of the family's 1533-position model. The record is from RNAcentral.
UGAACGCUGGCGGCGUGCCUAACACAUGCAAGUCGAACGAAGCACCUUAUCCGACGAAGUGGAGUGCUUGCACAAAGCGGAGUCAACCAAGGUGACUUAGUGGCGGACGGGUGAGUAACGCGUGGGUAACCUGCCGUAUACAGGGGGAUAACAGUUAGAAAUGACUGCUAAUACCGCAUAAGCGCACAGUAUCGCAUGAUACAGUGUGAAAAAGCCGAGACGGUAUACGAUGGACCCGCGUCUGAUUAGCCAGUUGGCAGGGUAACGGCCUACCAAAGCAACGAUCAGUAGCCGGCCUGAGAGGGUGAACGGCCACAUUGGGACUGAGACACGGCCCAAACUCCUACGGGAGGCAGCAGUGGGGGAUAUUGCACAAUGGGGGAAACCCUGAUGCAAGCGACGCCGCGUGAGCGAAGAAGUAUUUCGGUAUGUAAAGCUCUAUCAGCAGGGAAGAAAAUGACGGUACCUGACUAAGAAGCUCCGGCUAAAUACGUGCCAGCCGCGGC